Molecule: transfer RNA, 73 nt
Filed under: Sphaerodactylus townsendi
Lineage: Eukaryota; Metazoa; Chordata; Lepidosauria; Squamata; Sphaerodactylidae
Description: tRNA-Ala
Rfam family: tRNA (bases 2-64)
About the family: Transfer RNA (tRNA) molecules are approximately 80 nucleotides in length. Their secondary structure includes four short double-helical elements and three loops (D, anti-codon, and T loops). Further hydrogen bonds mediate the characteristic L-shaped molecular structure. tRNAs have two regions of fundamental functional importance: the anti-codon, which is responsible for specific mRNA codon recognition, and the 3' end, to which the tRNAs corresponding amino acid is attached (by aminoacyl-tRNA synthetases). tRNAs cope with the degeneracy of the genetic code in two manners: having more than one tRNA (with a specific anti-codon) for a particular amino acid; and 'wobble' base-pairing, i.e. permitting non-standard base-pairing at the 3rd anti-codon position.
Source: RNAcentral
GGAGGAUAUAGUUCAGUAGUAGAACAUCUGCUUUGCAUGCAGAUGGUCUCUGGUUCUAUCCUCUACAUUUCCA